This 190-nucleotide ribosomal RNA is filed under the name uncultured bacterium. RNAcentral describes it as "partial 16S ribosomal RNA". It matches the Rfam family "Bacterial small subunit ribosomal RNA", at positions 1303 to 1500 of the family's 1533-position model. The record is from RNAcentral.
GUCUGCAACUCGACUCCAUGAAGCUGGAUUCGCUAGUAAUCGCGCAUCAGCCAUGGCGCGGUGAAUACGUUCCCGGGCCUUGUACACACCGCCCGUCAAGCCAUGGAAGCCGGGAGUGCCUGAAGUGUGCAACCGCAAGGAGCGCCCUAAGGUAAAACUGGUGACUGGGGCUAAGUCGUAACAAGGUAGC